Molecule: ribosomal RNA, 463 nt
Filed under: uncultured bacterium
Lineage: Bacteria
Description: partial 16S ribosomal RNA
Rfam family: Bacterial small subunit ribosomal RNA
Source: RNAcentral
GACGAACGCUGGCGGCGUGCUUAACACAUGCAAGUCGAACGGUGAACCUCUUCGGAGGGGAUCAGUGGCGAACGGGUGAGUAACACGUGGGCAACCUGCCCCCGGCUCUGGGAUAACUCCAAGAAAUUGGGGCUAAUACCGGAUGUUCACCGCUUCCCGCAUGGGUGUUGGUGGAAAGGGUUUCCGGCUGGGGAUGGGCCCGCGGCCUAUCAGCUUGUUGGUGGGGUAGUGGCCUACCAAGGCGACGACGGGUAGCCGGCCUGAGAGGGUGACCGGCCACACGGGGACUGAGACACGGCCCAGACUCCUACGGGAGGCAGCAGUGGGGAAUAUUGCGCAGUGGGCGGAAGCCUGACGCAGAGACGCCGCGUGGGGGAUGACGGCCUUCGGGUUGUAAACCUCUUUCAGCAGGGACGAAGCGCAAGUGACGGUACCUGCAGAAGAAGCACCGGCCAACUACGUG